CCUACGGGAGGCAGCAGUGGGGAAUAUUGGGCAAUGGGCGCAAGCCUGACCCAGCAACGCCGCGUGAAGGAAGAAGGCUUUCGGGGUGGAAACUUCUGUUCUCAGGGACGAAGAAAGUGACGGUACCUGAGGAAUAAGCCACGGCUAACUACGUGCCAGCAGCCGCGGUAAUACGUAGGUGGCAAGCGUUAUACGGAUUUAUUGGGUGUAAAGGGCGUGUAGGCGGGAGCGCAAGUCAGAUGUGAAAACUCAGGGCUCAACCCUGAGCCUGCAUUUGAAACUGUGUUUCUUGAGUGCUGGAGAGGCAAUCGGAAUUCCGUGUGUAGCGGUGAAAUGCGUAGAUAUACGGAGGAACACCAGUGGCGAAGGCGGAUUGCUGGACAGUAACUGACGCUGAGGCGCGAAAGCGUGGGGAGCAAACAGGAUUAGAUACCCGGGUAGUC
This 443-nucleotide ribosomal RNA is filed under the name uncultured bacterium. RNAcentral's name for it is "partial 16S ribosomal RNA". It matches the Rfam family "Bacterial small subunit ribosomal RNA", at positions 338 to 795 of the family's 1533-position model. The record is from RNAcentral.